UAGUAUCAGCGUGCCAGCCGCCGCGGUAAGACGGAGGAUGCAAGCGUUAUCCGGAAUGAUUGGGCGUAAAGCGUCCGCAGGUGGCAGUUCAAGUCUGCUGUCAAAGACCGGGGCUUAACUUCGGAAAGGCAGUGGAAACUGAACAGCUAGAGUAUGGUAGGGGCAGAGGGAAUUCCUGGUGUAGCGGUGAAAUGCGUAGAGAUCAGGAAGAACAUCGGUGGCGAAGGCGCUCUGCUGGACCAUAACUGACACUCAGGGACGAAAGCUAGGGGAGCGAAUGGGAUUAGAUACCCCAGUAGUCCUAGCCGUAAACGAUGGAUACUAGGUGUUGUCUGUAUCGACCCGGACAGUGCCGUAGCUAACGCGUUAAGUAUCCCGCCUGGGGAGUACGCACGCAAGUGUGAAACUCAAAUGAAUUGGCGGG
Molecule: ribosomal RNA, 424 nt
Filed under: uncultured bacterium
Lineage: Bacteria
Description: bacterial SSU rRNA
Rfam family: Bacterial small subunit ribosomal RNA
Source: RNAcentral